This 24-nucleotide non-coding RNA is filed under the name Gossypium hirsutum (cotton). Lineage: Eukaryota; Viridiplantae; Streptophyta; Magnoliopsida; Malvales; Malvaceae. The record is from RNAcentral.
UAUAAAGUUAAAAACAAUAGUGAC